Molecule: ribosomal RNA, 253 nt
Filed under: uncultured bacterium
Lineage: Bacteria
Description: partial 16S ribosomal RNA
Rfam family: Bacterial small subunit ribosomal RNA
Source: RNAcentral
UACGUAGGGUGCGAGCGUUAAUCGGAAUUACUGGGCGUAAAGCGUGCGCAGGCGGCUUUGCAAGACAGAUGUGAAAUCCCCGGGCUCAACCUGGGAACUGCAUUUGUGACUGUAAGGCUAGAGUACGGCAGAGGGGGAUGGAAUUCCGCGUGUAGCAGUGAAAUGUGUAGAUAUGCGGAGGAACACCAAUGGCGAAGGCAAUCCCCUGGGCCUGUACUGACGCUCAUGCACGAAAGCGUGGGGAGCAAACAGG